UAAUACGUAGGGGGCAAGCGUUGUCCGGAUUUAUUGGGCGUAAAGAGCGUGUAGGCGGCUGGGUAGGUCCGUUGUGAAAACUCGAGGCUCAACCUCGAGACGCCGAUGGAAACCAUCCAGCUAGAGUCCGGAAGAGGAGAGUGGAAUUCCUGGUGUAGCGGUGAAAUGCGCAGAUAUCAGGA
RNAcentral lists this ribosomal RNA (182 nucleotides) under uncultured bacterium. Its description in RNAcentral is "partial 16S ribosomal RNA". It matches the Rfam family "Bacterial small subunit ribosomal RNA", at positions 521 to 702 of the family's 1533-position model. The record is from RNAcentral.